AUUUUAUUUUCAGUUUAAGAAGUGUUUCAGUUAUGGUUUUCUUGUGGAAAAUUCGGCAGAUAGAAAAAUACUAUAAAUCCUUAUAUGUACUGUAAGUGCUAAGAUAAGAUGGGGAAUGGUUUUAGAUGUUGAAACUAACUNNNNNNNUAUUCUUCUGCAUGGUAGCUAAUGACUUUGAAUGUGAAUUUUGGUUGGUUUUGGAGAUGGCGAAUGUACUGAAUAUGUUAUUACAUAACUGGUUGAGGACCAUGAAAUUCACAUGCACACCUGGUUGCAGAGCAUGUUUGUGAAAUAAAAAGACAUCUUGAUGUUGGAUCCUUUAUUAUUCUGAGCCUAGGAUGUCAGUUGGUUACAAGCUGAUUGCAACUUUUUGGCUGGUUGAGCUGAGG
RNAcentral lists this unclassified non-coding RNA (389 nucleotides) under Hevea brasiliensis (rubber tree). Lineage: Eukaryota; Viridiplantae; Streptophyta; Magnoliopsida; Malpighiales; Euphorbiaceae. The record is from RNAcentral.